RNAcentral lists this ribosomal RNA (253 nucleotides) under uncultured bacterium. RNAcentral describes it as "partial 16S ribosomal RNA". It matches the Rfam family "Bacterial small subunit ribosomal RNA", at positions 524 to 776 of the family's 1533-position model. The record is from RNAcentral.
GACAGAGGAGGCUAGCGUUGUUCGGAAUCACUGGGCUUAAAGCGCGUGUAGGCGGCUUGGUAAGUGCUUUGUGAAAUACCCCGGCUCAACCGGGGAACAGCUCGGCAUACUGCCAGGCUUGAGGCAGGUAGGGGUCACUGGAACUCUAGGUGGAGCGGUGAAAUGCGUAGAUAUCUAGAGGAACGCCCGGGGCGAAAGCGGGUGACUGGGCCUGUCCUGACGCUGAGGCGCGAAAGCGUGGGGAGCAAACGGG